Molecule: ribosomal RNA, 507 nt
Filed under: uncultured bacterium
Lineage: Bacteria
Description: bacterial SSU rRNA
Rfam family: Bacterial small subunit ribosomal RNA
Source: RNAcentral
GAUUAUGGCUCAGGAUGAACGCUGGCGGCGUGCCUAAUACAUGCAAGUCGAGCGAGGUAGCUUGCUACCUAGCGGCGAACGGGUGAGUAACACGUAGGUAACCUGCCUUUAAGACUGGGAUACCCGGACGAAAGUUCGGCUAAUACCGGAUAACAACGGAGAUGGCAUCUUCUCCGCUUGAAAGGUGCGUUUGCACCACUUUUAGAUGGACCUGCGGCACAUUAGCUAGUUGGUGAGAUAACAGCCCACCAAGGCGAGGAUGUGUAGCCGACCUGAGAGGGUGACCGGCCACAAUGGGACUGAGACACGGCCCAUACUCCUACGGGAGGCAGCAGUAGGGAGUUUUCGGCAAUGGGCGAAAGCCUGACCGAGCAACGCCGCGUGAGUGAAUGAAGGUCUUCGGAUUGUAAAGCUCUGUUGCGAGGGACGAAACGUACGAUCAGGAAAUGGGUCGUAUUUGACUAUACCUCGCCAGAAAGUGACGGCUAACUACGUGCCAGCCGCGGC